Molecule: ribosomal RNA, 899 nt
Filed under: uncultured archaeon
Lineage: Archaea
Description: bacterial SSU rRNA
Rfam family: Archaeal small subunit ribosomal RNA
Source: RNAcentral
UCCGGUUGAUCCUGCCGGACAUGACCGCUAUCGGGGUGGGACUAAGCCAUGCGAGUCGUACGUCCCGGGACUCGGGACGUGGCGUCCGGCUCCGUAAAACGUGGCUAAACUACCCUUGGGACGAGAAUAACUCCGGGAAACUGGAGCUAAUUCCCGAUAGGUACAGAGUUCUGGAAUGACUCUGUACCAAAAAGGAGCUAAGGGGAUGGUCUUAGCUCCGCCCAAGGAUGUGGCCACGGCCCAUCAGGUAGUUGGUGGGGUAACGGCCCACCAAGCCGAUAACGGGUACGGGCCCUGAGAGGGGGAGCCCGGAGAUGGCCACUGAGACAAGGGGCCAGGCCCUACGGGGCGCAGCAGGCGCGAAACCUCCGCAAUGGGCGAAAGCCUGACGGGGUCACCCCGAGUCUCGCCGCUGGUUUUCCAACGGCGAGUUUUCCCCAGUGUAAAAAGCUGGGGGAAUAAGUGGGGGGCAAGUCUGGUGUCAGCCGCCGCGGUAACACCAGCCCCGCGAGUGGUCAUGGCGCUUACUGGGCUUAAAGCGUCCGUAGCCGGCUUGGUGUAUCUUCAGUGAAAUCCCACGGCUCAACCGUGGGGCAGCUGGGGAGAUUACCAAGCUAGGGGGUGGGAGAGGCCGGAGGUACUCCAGGGGUAAGGGCAAAAUCCUAUAAUCCCUGGAGGACCACCAGUGGCGAAGGCGCCCGGCUGGAACACGCCCGACGGUGAGGGACGAAAGCUGGGGGAGCGAACCGGAUUAGAUACCCGGGUAGUCCCAGCCGUAAACGAUGCGGGCUAGGUGUCGGGUGGGCUUAGAGCUCACCCGGUGCCGAAGCGAAAGCGUUAAGCCCGCCGCCUGGGAAGUACGACUGCAAGGUUGAAACUUAAGGAAUUGGCGGGGGGGC